RNAcentral lists this ribosomal RNA (433 nucleotides) under uncultured bacterium. RNAcentral's name for it is "partial 16S ribosomal RNA". It matches the Rfam family "Bacterial small subunit ribosomal RNA", at positions 29 to 507 of the family's 1533-position model. The record is from RNAcentral.
AACGAACGCUGGCGGCAGGCCUAACACAUGCAAGUCGAGCGAGGACUUCGGUUCUAGCGGCGGACGGGUGAGUAACGCGUGGGAAUGUGCCCUUCUCUACGGAAUAGCCCUGGGAAACUGGGAGUAAUACCGUAUACGCCCUUUUGGGGAAAGAUUUAUCGGAGAAGGAUCAGCCCGCGUUGGAUUAGGUAGUUGGUGGGGUAAUGGCCUACCAAGCCGACGAUCCAUAGCUGGUUUGAGAGGAUGAUCAGCCACACUGGGACUGAGACACGGCCCAGACUCCUACGGGAGGCAGCAGUGGGGAAUCUUAGACAAUGGGGGCAACCCUGAUCGAGCCAUGCCGCGUGAGUGAUGAAGGCCUUAGGGUUAUAAAGCUCUUUCAGCUGGGAAGAUAAUGACGGUACCAGCAGAAGAAGCCCCGGCUAACUCCGUG